Salmo trutta (river trout) is the source of this 1753-nucleotide long non-coding RNA. The record is from Ensembl. NCBI's taxonomy places the organism in Eukaryota, Metazoa, Chordata, Actinopteri, Salmoniformes, Salmonidae.
ACGCACAUCAAGGAUGCACCUCCCCCCAUGCAGUGUGUGGGUAAAUAAGAACAGUUGUGAGUGUGUGUUCUGUUUAACGUCCAGUGUGUGUGUGAAUAAGAACAGUUGUGAGUGUGUGUUCUGUUUAACGUCCAGUGUGUGUAAAUACAAGUAAUGGUUAAAGGAAGAGACAAAAUGUGGAACGACCAAAAAGAGGAGUGCAGACAUUGAUGGUCCUGGCUGGCCCUAUACGACACAUCACCAGACUCUUCUCAUGGCACCGCUGGCUGGCCCUAUACGACACAUCACCAGACUCUUCUCUUCUCAUGGCACCGCUGGCUGGCCCUAUACUACACAUCACCAGACUCUUCUCUUCUCAUGGCACCGCUGGCUGGCCCUAUACGACACAUCACCAGACUCUUCUCAUGGCACCGCUGGCUGGCCCUAUACUACACAUCACCAGACUCUUCUCUUCUCAUGGCACCGCUGGCUGGCCCUAUACGACACAUCACCAGACUCUUCUCUUCUCAUGGCACCGCUGGCUGGCCCUAUACGACACAUCACCAGACUCUUCUCAUGGCACCGCUGGCUGGCCCUAUACUACACAUCACCAGACUCUUCUCUUCUCAUGGCACCGCUGGCUGGCCCUAUACUACACAUCACCAGACUCUUCUCUUCUCAUGGCACCGCUGGCUGGCCCUAUACGACACAUCACCAGACUCUUCUCUUCUCAUGGCACCGCUGGCUGGCCCUAUACGACACAUCACCAGACUCUUCUCUUCUCAUGGCACCGCUGGCUGGCCCUAUACUACACAUCACCAGACUCUUCUCUUCUCAUGGCACCGCUGGCUGGCCCUAUACUACACAUCACCAGACUCUUCUCUUCUCAUGGCACCGCUGGCUGGCCCUAUACUACACAUCACCAGACUCUUCUCUUCUCAUGGCACCGCUGGCUGGCCCUAUACUACACAUCACCAGACUCUUCUCUUCUCAUGGCACCGCUGGCUGGCCCUAUACUACACAUCACCAGACUCUUCUCUUCUCAUGGCACCGCUGGCUGGCCCUAUACGACACAUCACCAGACUCUUCUCAUGGCACCGCUGGCUGGCCCUAUACGACACAUCACCAGACUCUUCUCUUCUCAUGGCACCGCUGGCUGGCCCUAUACUACACAUCACCAGACUCUUCUCUUCUCAUGGCACCGCUGGCUGGCCCUAUACGACACAUCACCAGACUCUUCUCAUGGCACCGCUGGCUGGCCCUAUACUACACAUCACCAGACUCUUCUCUUCUCAUGGCACCGCUGGCUGGCCCUAUACGACACAUCACCAGACUCUUCUCUUCUCAUGGCACCGCUGGCUGGCCCUAUACGACACAUCACCAGACUCUUCUCUUCUCAUGGCACCGCUGGCUGGCCCUAUACUACACAUCACCAGACUCUUCUCAUGGCACCGCUGGCUGGCCCUAUACUACACAUCACCAGACUCUUCUCAUGGCACCGCUGGCUGGCUUGAUUCAUUUAUUUUGUGAGAUAACCUGGCGACUGAACGCUGAUGACUUAAGAGUGACUGAUCAAUGGCUUGAGGAACCCCACAAAGCACAACAACAUUUAAAGAUGACUUCACUGGAGAAGAAGAAAAGACCCCCUAAAAACCCUGCAGAGAAAUUCUUCAGAGCCUCUUCCUACUCCCACUUUCCUCUCCACUAUUUUACCUCCAGCUUUUUUGUAAGAAAACAAAAACAAAACACUGACUCAAGUGAUGAAUCAAGAUGA